RNAcentral lists this ribosomal RNA (434 nucleotides) under uncultured bacterium. Its description in RNAcentral is "partial 16S ribosomal RNA". It matches the Rfam family "Bacterial small subunit ribosomal RNA", at positions 29 to 507 of the family's 1533-position model. The record is from RNAcentral.
AGCGAACGCUGGCGGCAGGCCUAACACAUGCCAGUCGAACGAACCUUUCGGGGUUAGUGGCGGACGGUUGAGUAACCCGUGGGAACGUGCCUUUAGGUUCGGAAUAACUCAGGGAAACUUGUGCUAAUACCGAAUGUGCCCUUCGGGGGAAAGAUUUAUCGCCUUUAGAGCGGCCCGCGUCUGAUUAGCUAGUUGGUUGAGGUAAUGGCUCACCAAGGCGACGAUCAGUAGCUGGUCUGAGAGGAUGAUCAGCCACAUUGGGACUGAGACACGGCCCAAACUCCUACGGGAGGCAGCAGUGGGGAAUCUUGCGCAAUGGGCGAAAGCCUGACGCAGCCAUGCCGCGUGAAUGAUGAAGGUCUUAGGAUUGUAAAAUUCUUUCACCGGGGACGAUAAUGACGGUACCCGGAGAAGAAGCCCCGGCUAACUUCGUG